Long non-coding RNA from Xiphophorus hellerii (green swordtail), 1016 nucleotides. RefSeq lists it as uncharacterized. NCBI's taxonomy places the organism in Eukaryota, Metazoa, Chordata, Actinopteri, Cyprinodontiformes, Poeciliidae. The record is from RefSeq and is a predicted model, not a curated record. The transcript is spliced from 2 exons.
UGACUAAAAUCACCUCAAAACCUCAACUAUUUUACAGUGUGUGACCUAAUUUCAGUUUGCCAAGCUGGGGCCGAUGUUUACUUUGGCGUUAUCAUAACCCGCUGAUGCUUCUUCUGCACACCAUCAACGUCUUAUCAGGGCCUCAGCAGCUCUCCUUCGCUCUCACAAUCACACCAACACACAAACUUACACAACUACAGCGCUCCCCCCUUCUCCUCCUCUCCCAGUGUGUAUCCUCUUCAAGCUUCCAGCUUCCUUGCUGAGGAAAAAGAGGACUAGAUUGACAGGAAGAGAGGAGACAGUGGGGAUGUGACACAACAAUGGCAGGAAGUAACUUCAGAUUGAUGCAGAUGAAUGAAAAACACCAUCGACAUGGCAGAAACGACUUAACAAACAUCCCAUGCAGAGGGCCUCACCCUCACAGAGGAACAUGUCCCAGACCCGCAGCACAGAGGACCAGGGCAGGGUCCGGGAGAAGGCACACAUAAACCACUCCGUCAUGUACAGGAUCGGCUCCAGUUUAUGCUUCUUUAAGUGGCGGUGAGCCACGGGAGACACCCGCCGCAGCAGAGCGUACAGGAUCUCCCCGUCGAGCUGGAUCGCCUCCUGUGGAGAAGACGGGGAACAGCAGUGAGCGGGCGGGGACAACAGAUUCCUCUGUCUCUGCCUAAUCUGAUUGUCUGCUUAUCCCUGUCCUUGGCCCAGUCACCACCUUGUGUUAUUAGCUUGUUAGCUUAUCAGUAUCCAGUGAGAGACAAGAGUCGCCUGACAAGUCUGACACCCUCUAUGGCAGCACAUACUGUAGCAUAGGAGCAUAGCAGAAAUCUUUUGAAUCUAGUGUUUGUUUCACUGACAAACUCUGACUACAACUUAAAAACAUGUAAAUCCAUAAACUCAUGUCUUUGACAGCAAAAUGUAAUGCUUCAGUUGCUGACUGUGUGUUCUUUGACUAUGUAUUUUUGUGUUUUUAUGACAUAUAGCACUUUGAAAAUAAAAUAAAAUUGGAUUUAAUUGUU